Molecule: ribosomal RNA, 871 nt
Filed under: uncultured bacterium
Lineage: Bacteria
Description: bacterial SSU rRNA
Rfam family: Bacterial small subunit ribosomal RNA
Source: RNAcentral
GAGUUNGAUCCUGGCUCAGAUUGAACGCUGGCGGAAUGCUUUACACAUGCAAGUCGAACGGCAGCACGGAGAGCUUGCUCUCUGGUGGCGAGUGGCGAACGGGUGAGUAAUAUAUCGGAACGUGUCCAAUAAUGGGGGAUAACGAGUCGAAAGAUUCGCUAAUACCGCAUACGCCCUACGGGGGAAAGCAGGGGAUCGUAAGACCUUGCGUUAAUGGAGCGGCCGAUAUCUGAUUAGCUUGUUGGUGAGGUAAAGGCUCACCAAGGCGACGAUCAGUAGCUGGUUUGAGAGAACGACCAGCCACACUGGAACUGAGACACGGUCCAGACUCCUACGGGAGGCAGCAGUGGGGAAUUUUGGACAAUGGGGGCAACCCUGAUCCAGCCAUUCCGCGUGAGUGAAGAAGGCCUUCGGGUUGUAAAGCUCUUUCGCAAGGGAAGAAAACUUAUGAUCGAAUAAAUCAUGAGGUUGACGGUACCUUGAUAAGAAGCACCGGCUAACUACGUGCCAGCAGCCGCGGUAAUACGUAGGGUGCGAGCGUUAAUCGGAAUUACUGGGCGUAAAGCGUGCGCAGGCGGUUUUGUAAGUCGGAUGUGAAAUCCCCGGGCUCAACCUGGGAACUGCGUUCGAAACUGCAAGGCUAGAGUGUGUCAGAGGGGGGUAGAAUUCCACGUGUAGCAGUGAAAUGCGUAGAGAUGUGGAGGAAUACCAAUGGCGAAAGGCAGCCCCCUGGGAUAACACUGACGCUCAUGCACGAAAGCGUGGGGAGCAAACAGGAUUAGAUACCCUGGUAGUCCACGCCCUAAACGAUGUCAACUAGUUGUUGGUAGAGUAAAAUCUAUGAGUAACGUAGCUAACGCGUGAAGUUGAC